RNAcentral lists this small RNA (800 nucleotides) under Histoplasma ohiense. RNAcentral's name for it is "hypothetical lncRNA". The record is from RNAcentral. Lineage: Eukaryota; Fungi; Ascomycota; Eurotiomycetes; Onygenales; Ajellomycetaceae.
ACCAGUCGACUUGGGGUAUGUCGUCAAUAUCCAUUGGAUGCACUGCGCUUUUUGAGAACGGGAUGGGCCGCCGGGAGCUGGCGGUCUAUUCAUAUCUAUUCAUAUUUUCUGGAAACCAGCACAUUCUGUCUUUUCAAGUCCUACGUCCUACACACUCAUCUGGAGAAGAUCCUCCCCCACCAAAAUGAAAAAGGAAAAAUAGAAAACAAGAUUGUUCAUUGUUUUGUUUGCCGCGCUGCAUCUAUGCUCCAUGCAUAACAGGGGAAGAAGAAGCUCCAACAAUUCUAGUUUAGUACUGCGGGGAUUCAAAAACAUAUCAGGUUGGGGAAUGCGCAUAUGCAGGGCAAAUACACUAUACUAACACUUCAACCCGCGAAACUGGCCUAUCAAUCAAUGGAGCGGCAGUUGAAGAUGAGUAUGCUUACGAUCUUAUGUCUAGUAGGGUGCCGCUUGCUUAUCUUCUGAACUGCAGCGGGCCUCUCUAUGCCGGGAGUUCGUCUCUGUGUAGGAACCAUUGCAAAUGGAACCUGAUUGAGCUAUAGCAUCAAUGACGGAACAAUGGCCGUCCUCCUCGUUAUCGAUCGACGGCGAAAAAAUAACUACGAAGAUGUGUUUCCGCGAAAUCCAUUAACUAGUUAAUCAGUUAAUCUUCACUGUUUUGUCAGCAUUUGUCAAGUUCUCUCAUAUGGAUUCGAACAGAGGCACUGUAUUUCUAAUCCACCCCAUCCGGAUAUCUGCUGAAAUCUCCCCGAUCUCGAAUCUCACUUCUCAGGGGUUAGCCCGCACCUGGACAAACUGGG